This 23-nucleotide small nuclear RNA is filed under the name Arabidopsis thaliana (thale cress). RNAcentral's name for it is "snRNA_14979". The record is from RNAcentral. Lineage: Eukaryota; Viridiplantae; Streptophyta; Magnoliopsida; Brassicales; Brassicaceae.
UAGCUGGAGCUCGGACGCGAGUU